This 1448-nucleotide long non-coding RNA is filed under the name Malus domestica (apple). RNAcentral's name for it is "long non-coding RNA (MDOM_LNC008701)". The record is from RNAcentral. Lineage: Eukaryota; Viridiplantae; Streptophyta; Magnoliopsida; Rosales; Rosaceae.
AGAAUCAGCCGGUCUCGCAGCAUCUUCCGUUGGCAUCAACAGCACUGCGGCGAGGACGGUUGAUUACCUAUCCAAGUCUCGAUCGAGAAGGAUUUCUGAAUCCUUAUUCGUCAAGGUCAUCUCAUCAGCUUUCUCGGCAAAGUGAGGUGUUACAGUUAUUACAUUCGGCACAUUGAAAGCUGAAUUUGAUAUUGAACUUCGUAAGAAUAGUAACCUUGUCUUCAGGUUCGAGAGCCCAAGAGGCCGAGACGUGUUCCUUUCUCGGCCGCAAUCGCAAGACGCAGAAGUCAGCCGCGCGCCCAACGCAACAUCAACAAAAUUUACUCAUCGGCCGAGCUCGGUCGACGAGUUGGCACACCUUGCAUUCAUCGAAGGACGUAGUUAGCUUAUUAAUUACUCGGCCUGUGCGCCACGUAGGCUUGGUAGUUUUUAGGGUCAAUAAUUUCAUAAGUUUUGGUGAAGAAAUGAGCGAGAUUAAGGAGUUUGAAAAAUUGCCCAGUUUCUGACAUCGGCGACGGUUACCGGAGCUGGAGGUAGGAGAUGAAGGAAUAUUUCGUCAAGUGUGACGGAAUAUUCUCAUGCCGUUAGUUAGAUUUAAUGGUAACAGUUAGAAGCUAAUGGAAUAUUCCCGGAAUAUUCCUGACGGCGUUAACUGACGCCGUCAGUGUGCCUGGCACAUGGCCGUGCGUGGGGGGCGCGUCUGGCCGUGCCAUUGUCAGCGCGUGGGGGCCCGUGAGGCUUCCAAAAUUUUUUCUAAAAAUUUGGGGAUGAUCCUGAGGUUGUGUAGGUCACUAUGGUAUAUUCAUAUACCCAUUUUGAGCUAUGUAUGAGCAGUUAUUAGCUAGUUUUGCCUAUGUGCUUAAAAUAACGUUUUUAUAGUUAAUUCGCAUAUAGGUGAGACUUAUCCCGAGGACGAGCGUAUCCAUGGGUGACUCGGGGGUUACGACCCGUCGACAUACCAGUGAGUGGGCUUUUGUUUUCAGUAUAUAUUUAUAUACUUGAUAUAUUUCCCAGAAAUGCAUUUUUUUGGGAAAGUAUGAUUUGAAAUAAUAUGCCAAAUGCUUUUAUAUUCUGAAUAUGCAUUCCAUGGUUUCAUAUAUAUAAAUGUGGUGCUGUGGAGGCACAGGUAAGUUCGGGUAAGUUAUGUUUGGUUAUGUGAAUCAUCGAUGAUGUGAUAUGUUGAAUAAUGUUGAGCUCAUAAAACUGCACCUAGGGUGAUUGUGAUUUAGCCAGAGAUAUGAAGUACAAGCCUGUUUAUUUAUGUCACCUUCCGCACUAUAUGCUCAUAUUGGAUCCAACUUAAGUGCACAGUCUUGUCGUACAGACCUUAUUUAUGGUUCCGACUCGUAGGUGACUAGCGAUUUAUAGCCCGGCUAUUAUGAGAGAGAAAAAUUGAGCAUAAUUAUAUUACACCCAAUCUUGUUGUAGAGACCCCUUUUUAAUGGUUC